This 80-nucleotide transfer RNA is filed under the name Stachybotrys chlorohalonatus IBT 40285. Its description in RNAcentral is "tRNA-Ser (GCT) (tRNA-Ser-GCT-2-1)". Lineage: Eukaryota; Fungi; Ascomycota; Sordariomycetes; Hypocreales; Stachybotryaceae. The record is from RNAcentral.
UCCUUUGUGGCGCAAUUGGUUAGCGCGUCGUACGUUCCUCCCUGCUGAGGAGGCUGUAAGAUCGAGACUUACCAAAGGAG